AAUGGAUCAUGGAAGAAGAAGUAGUUUGACAAGUAUGAGAAGAGGAAGAGGACAUCUCUAUGUUCUAUAUAAAUCAAAAUUUCUACUGAUUGAGAGUCUUAGCCCAAUCUUAGUGGGGAAAGAUGUUGAGGAAACAGAUACAACAAAAUACCAGGAACAAGAAGUAUCUCCUACAUCACUGAAGAUGACUUUCUUUAGUUACAACUGAAUUCUGGCUCCUUCUGACGCUCAUCUCAGGCUGAAUGGUCUCCCACAUGGUUUCUGAUGGAUGUUCAACCCACAUUCGUGUC
Molecule: long non-coding RNA, 290 nt
Organism: Prionailurus viverrinus (fishing cat)
Lineage: Eukaryota; Metazoa; Chordata; Mammalia; Carnivora; Felidae
Exons: 3
Source: RefSeq, a predicted model, not a curated record